ACUACAUGAAGCUGGAAUCGCUAGUAAUCGCAGAUCAGAAUGCUGCGGUGAAUACGUUCCCGGGUCUUGUACACACCGCCCGUCACGCCAUGGGAGUUGGAAAUGCCCGAAGCCAGUGACCCAACCGUAAGGAGGGAGCUGUCGAAGGUGGAGCCGAUGACUGGGGUGAAGUCGUAACAAGGUAUC
This 186-nucleotide ribosomal RNA is filed under the name uncultured bacterium. RNAcentral describes it as "partial 16S ribosomal RNA". It matches the Rfam family "Bacterial small subunit ribosomal RNA", at positions 1315 to 1500 of the family's 1533-position model. The record is from RNAcentral.